RNAcentral lists this ribosomal RNA (161 nucleotides) under uncultured bacterium. RNAcentral's name for it is "partial 16S rRNA". It matches the Rfam family "Bacterial small subunit ribosomal RNA", at positions 358 to 511 of the family's 1533-position model. The record is from RNAcentral.
GGAACCUUCCACAAUGGGCGAAAGCCUGAUGGAGCAACGCCGCGUGUGUGAUGAAGGGUUUCGGCUCGUAAAACACUGUUGUAAGAGAAGAAUGGCAUUGAGAGUAACUGUUCAAUGUGUGACGGUAUCUUACCAGAAAGGAACGGCUAAAUACGUGCCAG